GGGUGAGUAACACGUGGGCAACCUGCCUGUAAGACUGGGAUAACUUCGGGAAACCGAAGCUAAUACCGGAUAGGAUCUUCUCCUUCAUGGGAGAUGAUUGAAAGAUGGUUUCGGCUAUCACUUACAGAUGGGCCCGCGGUGCAUUAGCUAGUUGGUGAGGUAACGGCUCACCAAGGCAACGAUGCAUAGCCGACCUGAGAGGGUGAUCGGCCACACUGGGACUGAGACACGGCCCAGACUCCUACGGGAGGCAGCAGUAGGGAAUCUUCCGCAAUGGACGAAAGUCUGACGGAGCAACGCCGCGUGAGUGAUGAAGGCUUUCGGGUCGUAAAACUCUGUUGUUAGGGAAGAACAAGUACGAGAGUAACUGCUCGUACCUUGACGGUACCUAACCAGAAAGCCACGGCUAACUACGUGCCAGCAGCCGCGGUAAUACGUAGGUGGCAAGCGUUAUCCGGAAUUAUUGGGCGUAAAGCGCGCGCAGGCGGUUUCUUAAGUCUGAUGUGAAAGCCCACGGCUCAACCGUGGAGGGUCAUUGGAAACUGGGGAACUUGAGUGCAGAAGAGAAAAGCGGAAUUCCACGUGUAGCGGUGAAAUGCGUAGAGAUGUGGAGGAACACCAGUGGCGAAGGCGGCUUUUUGGUCUGUAACUGACGCUGAGGCGCGAAAGCGUGGGGAGCAAACAG
RNAcentral lists this ribosomal RNA (685 nucleotides) under uncultured bacterium. Its description in RNAcentral is "bacterial SSU rRNA". It matches the Rfam family "Bacterial small subunit ribosomal RNA", at positions 104 to 775 of the family's 1533-position model. The record is from RNAcentral.